AUAUAGAAGGGGAUGUGUAGGAAGGUAGCAACUAGAAUAUUUCAUUGAUAUUUCAGUUGUGUGCAGCCUUGACCGAUCCCAUGGGAUGAUAUGCGCUCUAAAAUAUUAGGGGUUCAAAAAGGGUUCUUCUAAGAUCCUCAAAGUUCUUAGAAGAACCUUAGGGUUCUUGACACUGAAAAAAAGGUUAUCAAAAGGUUCUUCCAAGAACCCCAUUGGAGGUGGAGUUCGUCGAGGAACUUCCUUAGUUGUUGGGAGUUCUUGCAAAAACCCAACUGCCCAACUGAAACAUUUGAAUUUGAAAGGACAGCAGGUGCAGGCACUUAACUGAAAAAUGUAAAGAUCUCCUUAAUUUAAGGUAUAUAGAUGCGGAGGCAUACAAAGUUAUGUCUAUUGGUAUGUUAUGUUAUGCAGAUCACAUUUUCCACCACCUCUUCAAUGAAUAUCCCAUAGGUCUCUACAUUAUGGAUAAGACUUCACCCUCCCUACACCUCUGAUGAAUAAAACAGGAAACCUGUUAGAUCACCAUGCACUGCAAAAUCAUUCUGGCUAUGGAUACAGAGAACAUCAACACAUUAACAUCAACACGCCAGAGGAUAUGCUCAUUGGACUUGGGGCUCUGCUGGGAGUUUGCCUCAUAUUUAGAUUUUUUUAUUCUGCUUUGGCACUAAAAUCAUAAUAAACACUGACAA
Oncorhynchus masou masou (cherry salmon) is the source of this 689-nucleotide long non-coding RNA. RefSeq lists it as uncharacterized. The transcript is spliced from 3 exons. The record is from RefSeq and is a predicted model, not a curated record. NCBI's taxonomy places the organism in Eukaryota, Metazoa, Chordata, Actinopteri, Salmoniformes, Salmonidae.